ACUCUGGAGCGACUUAUCUGUGAAAUUAUUCACACAUUAUUAUAUAAUUUCACGUUUGUUAUUUUCACACUGACAACCACCAGAGGGCGCUCUAGGCUUGUGCACCUGUACCUGCUACUUCUUGAAUAGCAACUGACAUGAGUAUGAGG
Long non-coding RNA from Sphaeramia orbicularis (orbiculate cardinalfish), 149 nucleotides. RefSeq lists it as uncharacterized. The record is from RefSeq and is a predicted model, not a curated record. The transcript is spliced from 3 exons. NCBI's taxonomy places the organism in Eukaryota, Metazoa, Chordata, Actinopteri, Kurtiformes, Apogonidae.